Molecule: unclassified non-coding RNA, 117 nt
Organism: Pongo abelii (Sumatran orangutan)
Lineage: Eukaryota; Metazoa; Chordata; Mammalia; Primates; Hominidae
Rfam family: Metazoan signal recognition particle RNA
About the family: The signal recognition particle (SRP) is a universally conserved ribonucleoprotein. It is involved in the co-translational targeting of proteins to membranes. The eukaryotic SRP consists of a 300-nucleotide 7S RNA and six proteins: SRPs 72, 68, 54, 19, 14, and 9.
Source: Ensembl
GCUGGGCGCGGUGGCUCACGCCUGUAAUCCCAGCUUUUUGGGAGGCUGAGGCGGGUGGAUCACCUGAGGUCAGGAGUUUGAGACCAGCCUGACCAACAAGGUGAAACCCCGUCUCUA